CACAUUCACGGUUACAUAACUACAUCACUGCCUCAAAAAGUCAGAUAUUACAGAAUAUACAUUAAAGGGGCACUAUGUAGUUUUGGAGAAGAAAUUCAUAUUUGUGAGGCAUGCAUGAUGAAGGAAACUUGAUCAGUCCUGAACCAGCAGCGGGAACCCCACUGGCUCCACUCGCCCAAUUCGCACUCUGCAGGACGCUGACCUGGGUGGCAAAAAUAAAAGAAACAAGAAAUCCGACACAGAAGACUGAGCACCAGUCUUUUCGUCUGCUCCGUCUUGGUGGAGCGCAGACACAAUAAUCCACCCCAGGAGAACGCAAACCAUUUCUGCCAAGGUGUUGAUAGAUCGAUGGUUCCACGUUGUAACCCUAGCUCUAUGAACACAGCUGGAGGCUGCUAACAGGACUUCAACAGGGAUGGCCAUGGAAACACAGAGGAGUUCAAUACCACCGACACAGAGGAGAUACAAACAGAGAACCCCGUGGUAACAUGCAAACUUUAAAAAGAAAUGCAGAAAAAAGGGGAGAGCCAGAAUCUCCUCUUGGACGAGGACCAAGAUCGAUGACUGGACGAGCCACUGACAGCCAGGUCCAAACUAAAUGUAUCCAGCUUUCACGGGGGUCCAGGAAGACCUACCAGGACGCUAAGGCCAAAGAGAUCAAUUGUUUGUCGAUGGCGACCCACCCAUUCAGCCCAGACUGAAGCCAAGGAUAUAUUAUAUUUGAAUGUGGAGCUUCACACUGGAAGCAAAGGAGGUUCCUCACUCAAAGAGCCUGUGUUCUCACGAAGAUCAGGAUGGGAACGAGAGGCACAGUCCUUCUGCGCCUUUUCCCAGAGCCUCUCAUCCUUCCACAGGCCAAGUCUACUGCCAAGAGAAGUUCCAGGUGGUCUCCAGGCUGUCUUUGAUCCUCACCAACCGCGGUUUCUUGGACAGAUCGGUCAGUGUAAUCGCUAGUGUUUCGGAGUGCUCAGGGGAAACAGUAGUGCUCCAUUUCCCUUUCAUGGCAUGACCUCAGCAGUGGCAACCAUAGCCUUGAGGUGACACAGACCUCCGUCCAACUAGGCUUCUCUGUUGUCCUUAUCUAAUUGAAAGGGCAGCAGAUAAAUGUUAGAGACAAGCUGCCUUGAUGAGGCACAGAAAAACAAGCAGAGAGAGGAGAGUGGGGUGUUGGUGCCCACCUCCGGUGAACACUAUUUCGAUUGAAGUGGAGAAAAUUGUUGGCAAGGACCAGUAUGGCACACAGCCCCCCUGAAACUUGCCAUGCAACUCCUACUUUUAGCUGACCCUUCAAGUUUACAUCAAGGGCGAACACACGGUCCAGUUACUGACACUCAAAGUGUAGCAGAGGUCCAAUCUUUGUUUGCACGAACACCCUGCGUUGGCAGGGGGAAGCUGGUGCUGCGGACCAGAUGCACAGACGUGGUGCAGUGAGGGGCCUGAACUCCACUGCAGCUCGUCUUUGGACUUUGGAGUGAGAGGAGUGUGUUUGUCUUGGAUGAACUAGAGACAGACCUGCUGCCAGCUUCUUUGAGCAAGUGAUCGACCAACCAAAUGGGUCUGAUACAUCAAGAUUGCGGGUGCGGUAGCAUUUUCGCAUUUCACUUAAGAUUAGUAUUAGUUCCAGAGAAGCUGUUGACACAUCAUUUUCCUAUCACAAGAUAAUAAUUUUAUUGUCCUACAAGACAGCAUGGGAUAACGUGCAUCCGUGUCUUUAACAGUGUAUUUUAUUUGACAUUUUGGGCCACAAGAAAAAGACAAGAUGAUUUUAGACACCACAAAGACAGACAGGCUUCAUUUUCUCUUGUCUAAGAGUGUGGGAGAACUCUUCCUUGAUGCUCUGCCAUGAAAAACAUUAAGACGUUGUUCCAUGAAAAUCCCUUGAAAUAGUGGUUAUUUAGGCCUUUUGGGCCUAUUUCCUAGGUUCCCUGUAAUAGUUUCCACAUGUUUCUGAAGAGAUAUCCAUCUUAUCAGGCAAAAUACUAACCAAAAGUGAAAAAAAAAAAUGUUUCAGGUAACUAAAUGACUUCUUGUAAAACCACACAUUUCCAUAAACCCUGUUCAGUUAUUGCCCUCUCCUGGAGGUCUAGCAGUGGGGUUGGCAGGGCAGCGUCUUUUUUUUUUUUUGUUUCUUACUAACAUCAGAGUUGCGUUUUAAUGAUGACUAAUGAAGUGAUUAUGCGUGAAUUCCCACCAAGUGAGAAAAUUUCCACUUGAAAAAUGGUAAACAAAUUGUAAAAAAAAAAAAAAUGUCUCAGUGACACAGUAAAUAAUUUAUAUUACGACUCAAACUAAAGGUCACCGAUUAUACAAGUGGAAACUGACCUGUGAGCCAAGUUUUGUGAGUGUGCAGGCCACAGUAAAUUCUCACCUUAUUGUGGCUUAUCUCAGCCACAAACGGUGGUUUACAUGCCACAGAUUAGUACUCAUAAACACUGUUCAUUAGAGGGCUCCGAGAACGCCUCCCAGAGGUCCUUGCCAACAGAUUAUCCUAUAAUUUAUGUGGUGUGAAACUUGUGGCCAUGACGAGCUGUGAACGAAAUAAGUGGAAGAUUUAGCUUUGGUGAAAAUAAACACAGAAGAUAUUACGCAUUAGCGAAACAUAUUCUCUCGAAAAACAACAUAAUCCAUCACUUCAUCUCCAGCUGGGUUUUUCCACGAUUGGUUUUUCAUUUGUUUCAUGAUUCAUGCCUCUCUCUUCUCAUCAUUCCCUCAUUUGCCUCUCUGUAGUUUCAAAUCUGUCUAAUCCCCACUUGAAGCUGGCAAUAAUAUCUCUAUAUAUAAAUGAGGUGCGGCUCUAUUUGAAGACAGGAGCUCCUGGCUUGGGUUCGUCGCUCUCUUCAGUGCUUCGAGAUGCGAGUGGCGUCAUGGACCCAAGAGGUGUGUAAAAAGGACAUUAACAUUUCAAAAUGUCUUCAGAUCUUCAAUUCAAAAAUAAAGUAAUUACAUUGAAAUAAAUAAAAUCAAAUUUGGAGCAUUUAAUGUCGGGAAAUUCCACUGGGAUGAGAUGGUUUAUAUAUUAUUCAUAGAUACUGCAUACAGGUUUUUUCAUCUUUAGUCUCUGAUAGUCUCUAAUCUUUCAGAAUUGUUUAUUUCACUAUAAGAUGGAUUUCAUGAAAUUUUGGAAAGAUCACAGGUCUCCUGAGGCUUUUAGUAAGACGUGGCCACAUUGAGGACUAUUAGAUGGAUUUCCAUGACAUUUGGUACAGACCUUCCGUCUCCUCAGGAUGAUUUGUAGCCUUUGUUUAGUGCCUUUAUUUGAUGACAUCCUCUCGUGAGUGAAACUGCGCGCUUCAGCUGAGUCGGGGCUAUGUUGGGUAGUUAACAGCCUGAGUUCCAGUUUCUGCUGGUCAUGUUUUGCACCGCGAGCACAAUAAAAUCAUAAAAGAAAACAAAGUGUUCCUCCAUCAGUCAUCUGAUCCACUGAUUAACGUGGCUGAAUAUGUUACCUUUCCAGAGCCACGGCUCUGAACCAUAGUCACAAGAUCCCUGGUUUUACAUUUUGCAUAACAGCAAGCUUAGUCGUAGCUUUUCACAAUGCAGACCAACUUGCUGCAUACUAUUUAAUAACAAUAACAUUUUCUUUCUGUGGCAGCAAAAACAACAAACAGCCUCUCAGUAACUAUUAUUAAUCCUCUGAAAACUGAGUUUAUCUAAUCUUACACACUUCAGGGCAGACUUAAGUAAUAUGCGCAUGAACCUUUCUGUGCCUGCAGCUACAUGCUGGUUCCCUGCUUGUGUCAUCAGGUCAAAAUUUGUGCAUGGCCAAUACUUCGGAUUACAACUGAACACUUGCAAAACUAAUGACACUUCCAUCAGCCUGGCCUGUGCUUUGUGUUAAGUGCUAAUUAGCAAAUGUUAGCGCUGAUAAUUUGCACAAUGGUAAACCUGAAACUGGUUAAUAGCUGUGCACGAGAACUGAUGCAGUCAGGAUGUUAGAAUGCUCACAUUAGCAGCACAGUUGUGCACAGACUGUAAAGUUGACUUUACUAGGCAAUUCAUCGGUUCCCUGAUUUUUUCUUAAGUAAACUAUAAUAUUUAAGUCGUAUGAGCUUCAAAAGUUAAAGUGUAGUCUUUACUUGGUCAUUUUGUGAAGUAAAGUCACUUUGUCAGAUUUCACAGUGUAAGAGCAGCCUCACAAAGCUCCUACCAUGGCUGUAAAUUUCUGUUUCCACCCGAAACGAAAAACUCAUGAUGAUAAUCUGUAUCAUCACGCCCUUCUUGCAUUGGUGCCUCCUGUCACUUUACAGGAAAAAACUUGAUGUAACGACUAAUGACAGAGCAGUGACCGUCAGCCCUUCGGUAGCCCUCCAGAUAAGCCACGAAGUGCUCUCUGCAGAGAUGUUGGCUUUCUGUUGCCAACGCUGUCGACAGCGGGGCUAUAAGGAGGAGCGACCUUCGGGCCCUCGUCGAUUUUUCUCUUUUUGUUUAGUCAGGCCGGCUGGAGGCUGUGCUCCGUCAUCUAGCCGGUGUUCCAAAUUUGACUCAAAGCAGAGACUCGGCAAGCGAGCCAGGCUGAAAUAUUAUCCACAAAUGCACACAUUCACAUGAACAGUUAUGAGGAGCUUCAAUGCUGGGGGACCGUCUGGAGAAGAAAGCAUCCGUCACACUAACCCCAUUUUACUUAUUCCCAUCCCUGUGUGUAUGGUAGAUAACAAAAGAGAAAGCUCGAGCACCUUUACCCACUGAAAUCCUCUGCAUCUGGUAUUUAUCACCGCAUGAACGUGGGAUGUGGGGGUGCAAAAAAAGCAAAUGUUUAUAAUUCCUGCCUCAGUGUAUCAUAGCCUUUCCGAGCAGAGGAAGCAAUAGCUUAAUUGUACUGUUUAUGAUGACGCUGUGUUUUUUACAAGUCACUGUAAAAUUUCUGUUGUCACCUUGUUAGAUUCUCACUGUUUUCCAUUAAACAAAUCCCUUUUUAAGCCCA
This is a long non-coding RNA of Acanthopagrus latus (yellowfin seabream), 4921 nucleotides long. RefSeq lists it as uncharacterized. NCBI's taxonomy places the organism in Eukaryota, Metazoa, Chordata, Actinopteri, Spariformes, Sparidae. The transcript is spliced from 6 exons. The record is from RefSeq and is a predicted model, not a curated record.